Molecule: ribosomal RNA, 206 nt
Filed under: uncultured Syntrophaceae bacterium
Lineage: Bacteria; Pseudomonadati; Thermodesulfobacteriota; Syntrophia; Syntrophales; Syntrophaceae
Description: partial 16S ribosomal RNA
Rfam family: Bacterial small subunit ribosomal RNA
Source: RNAcentral
CGUGUAGGCGGCUUGACAAGUCAGAUGUGAAAUCCCUGGGCUUAACCCAGGAAGUGCAUUUGAAACUGUUUGGCUGGAUAAGGGAGAGGAAAGUGGAAUUCCUGGUGUAGAGGUGAAAUUCGUAGAUAUCAGGAGGAACACCGGUGGCGAAGGCGACUUUCUGGCCCUAUACUGACGCUGAGACGCGAAAGCGUGGGUAGCAAACA